GAGGGUAUAGCUCAGUGGUAGAGUGCAUGCCUAGCAUGCACAAGGUCCUGGGUUCAAUCCCCAGUCCCUCCA
RNAcentral lists this transfer RNA (72 nucleotides) under Camelus bactrianus (Bactrian camel). It matches the Rfam family "tRNA". From Rfam's summary of the family: Transfer RNA (tRNA) molecules are approximately 80 nucleotides in length. Their secondary structure includes four short double-helical elements and three loops (D, anti-codon, and T loops). Further hydrogen bonds mediate the characteristic L-shaped molecular structure. tRNAs have two regions of fundamental functional importance: the anti-codon, which is responsible for specific mRNA codon recognition, and the 3' end, to which the tRNAs corresponding amino acid is attached (by aminoacyl-tRNA synthetases). tRNAs cope with the degeneracy of the genetic code in two manners: having more than one tRNA (with a specific anti-codon) for a particular amino acid; and 'wobble' base-pairing, i.e. permitting non-standard base-pairing at the 3rd anti-codon position. RNAcentral also lists the same sequence under 3 other names. The record is from Rfam by way of RNAcentral. Lineage: Eukaryota; Metazoa; Chordata; Mammalia; Artiodactyla; Camelidae.